GAAAUAUAACAUCCAAGGCUUCUAACCUAAAUAAAAGUGAAUUAACAUCAUUUAUAUUUCU
This 61-nucleotide transfer RNA is filed under the name Pseudoneureclipsis sibuyana. RNAcentral describes it as "tRNA-Ser". Lineage: Eukaryota; Metazoa; Arthropoda; Insecta; Trichoptera; Polycentropodidae. The record is from RNAcentral.